GGAAUAUUGGACAAUGGGCGCAAGCCUGAUCCAGCCAUGCCGCGUGAGUGAUGAAGGCCUUAGGGUUGUAAAGCUCUUUUACCAGGGAAGAUAAUGACGGUACCUGGAAAAUAAGCCCCGGCUAAAUUCGUGCCAGCAGCCGCGGUGAUACGACGGGGGCUAGCGUUGUUCGGAAUUACUGGGCGUAAAGCGCGCGUAGGUGGUCAUGCAAGUCAGAGGUGAAAUCCCACGGCUCAACCGUGGAACUGCCUUUGAAACUGCAUGGCUUGAGUUCGGAAGAGGUAAGUGGAAUUCCUAAUGUAGAGGUGAAAUUCGUAGAUAUUAGGAGGAACACCAGUGGCGAAGGCGGCUUACUGGUCCGACACUGACACUGAGGCGCGAAAGCGUGGGUAGCAAAC
Molecule: ribosomal RNA, 398 nt
Filed under: uncultured bacterium
Lineage: Bacteria
Description: bacterial SSU rRNA
Rfam family: Bacterial small subunit ribosomal RNA
Source: RNAcentral